UAAAAAGUGGGGAAAGAAGCAGUGGGAAGACGAAGGAUGCAACGGUUAGUCGGAUUCAUUGGGUUUAAAGGGGGCGUAGGUGGGCUUAGAAGUCAGUGGUGAAAUCCUGUCGCUUAACGAUAGAAUUGCCAUUGAUACUGUAGGACGUGAGUACAGUUGCCGUUGGCGGAAUAUGACAUGUAGUGGUGAAAUACAUAGAUAUGUCAUAGAACACCGAUUGCGAAGGCAGCUGACGAAACUGUAACUGACACUGAGGCUCGAAAGUGUGGGGAUCAAACAGGAUUAGAUACCCCAGUAGUC
RNAcentral lists this ribosomal RNA (300 nucleotides) under uncultured Wolinella sp. RNAcentral describes it as "bacterial SSU rRNA". It matches the Rfam family "Bacterial small subunit ribosomal RNA", at positions 496 to 795 of the family's 1533-position model. The record is from RNAcentral. Lineage: Bacteria; Pseudomonadati; Campylobacterota; Epsilonproteobacteria; Campylobacterales; Helicobacteraceae.